GACGAACGCUGGCGGCGUGCCUAAUACAUGCAAGUAGAACGCUGAAGGAGGAGCUUGCUUCUCUGGAUGAGUUGCGAACGGGUGAGUAACGCGUAGGUAACCUGCCUGGUAGCGGGGGAUAACUAUUGGAAACGAUAGCUAAUACCGCACAAUAGCAGUUAUUGCAUGAUAACUGUUUGAAAGGUGCAAUUGCACCACUACCAGAUGGACCUGCGUUGUAUUAGCUAGUUGGUGGGGUAACGGCUCACCAAGGCGACGAUACAUAGCCGACCUGAGAGGGUGAUCGGCCACACUGGGACUGAGACACGGCCCAGACUCCUACGGGAGGCAGCAGUAGGGAAUCUUCGGCAAUGGACGGAAGUCUGACCGAGCAACGCCGCGUGAGUGAAGAAGGUUUUCGGAUCGUAAAGCUCUGUUGUAAAGAGAAAGAAACGAAGUGUGAGAAGUGAAAAGUUCCACCACUG
RNAcentral lists this ribosomal RNA (464 nucleotides) under Streptococcus mitis. Its description in RNAcentral is "bacterial SSU rRNA". It matches the Rfam family "Bacterial small subunit ribosomal RNA", at positions 28 to 475 of the family's 1533-position model. The record is from RNAcentral. Lineage: Bacteria; Bacillati; Bacillota; Bacilli; Lactobacillales; Streptococcaceae.